Fomitopsis betulina (razor strop fungus) is the source of this 95-nucleotide non-coding RNA. The record is from the annotation of a GenBank genome assembly. NCBI's taxonomy places the organism in Eukaryota, Fungi, Basidiomycota, Agaricomycetes, Polyporales, Fomitopsidaceae.
GGGCGUUUGGCACAGUGGUAGCGCGCACGCUUCGCAUUCUCUUGCCUGGCUGGCAUGCUUGCGUGAGGUCCAGGGUUCAAUCCCCUGAAUGUCCA